This is a long non-coding RNA of Chelmon rostratus (copperband butterflyfish), 2103 nucleotides long. RefSeq lists it as uncharacterized. The transcript has 3 exons. The record is from RefSeq and is a predicted model, not a curated record. NCBI's taxonomy places the organism in Eukaryota, Metazoa, Chordata, Actinopteri, Chaetodontiformes, Chaetodontidae.
CAGAGACGUGUUAGGAAUCACUGCUCUUUGGCAUGUAUAGAGGCAGAUUAGGGCUCCAAGGUUCUUCACUGAGAAUGAAUCCUCUUUUUGAGCACAAGUAUCUUGUGUUUAAAUUAACUCAGCCGAACGCAAAUGUAAUGACACGCAAUACUGUUGUUAAUAAAGUAACAAAGGCCUCUGCUGAGAUGAAGAAAAACCUCAAAGCUGCACUUAGUGAAGUUGAGGUGAUAGCAACAACAACGGAUUGCUGGACAGCUCACCAUCGGAGGUUUAUUGGAGAAACCGCACACUGGUUUGACCCACAGACCAUGCAGAGAUCGUGUGCUGCACUGGCCUGCAAACAACUCAAAGGUUCACACAGCUUUUCAGCCCUGGCUGGAGCCCUGAAUGAUGUCCACACUAAAUUCAGAGAGAAAAUUGUUCGCACAACAACUGACAAUGGUUCAAAUUUCCUUAAAGCCUUCCGAGUGUUUGGACAGACAGAUGAGAACAAGGAGGGAGAAGAUGGAGAUGGUGGUAGGGAUGAAAAUGACGACAGUGACGAAGAGGAGAUCGAUUUUGUUGAUGCCGGAGCACUGUUGGAUGAGGAUGACCACUUAGAAUUUCAGUUGCCCAAGCAUCACCGGUGUGCAUGCCAUCUCCUCAACCUGGUGUCUACAGUUGAUGCUUCAAAAGCGGAGGGCAAUUAACUGUACAAGUGUGAGUCAAGGUCCACCUUUGCAAAAUGCUCCAGCCUGUGGAACAAAAGUGCAAGAUCAACUACUGCAGCGGAGGUAGUAGAAGACCACUGCAAGCUCCAACUUGUGAGGCCCAUCGUCACCAGGUGGAACUCCUUCUUUACUGCGGUUGAAAGACUUCAACGGAUCACAAUAGAGCAAGGCGAAGGAGCCCUCACAGCUGUCUGCGGUAAACUUGGCAUAACAAAGCUCACCCCAGUGGAACUGUCCUUUAUGACCGAAUAUGUGAAGGUACUGAAAUUCAAGACCUGCUGGACAACAUUCCAAAAUAUCCUCAAACUUGGCCUUGACUACAUCAGAAGCCACCUCGAUAGUCUCAUUGCUGGGAAAUCUUCAUCAUCAGAGGAAGACGACUUCUUUUCUUCCCUGAAGAAGGCUGGCCCUGUGAUGCUGGCAAGGCUCAAAGUACUGGACUCACAUGCACGACUCAGACACUUCUAUCACAAUAAAAGGCUUCAGGUCGAUUUAUUGCAGAACUCAAAAGAUUUCAAAAUAGAAUGAAGGGAGUCAAAAAUGCAAAGUACAAAAAACCCCACAAAAGUACAACAAAAAGCACUAAGGAUAUUCUCUGUAGGCAAAAACAAGACUCUUUUACUAAUGUGGGUAAUCACAAGGACAAACGCUGGACUGACGUGUAACACAGGGUUGGCACGAGACAAUCUGGCACAGGACAGGGGAAACGCAGACAUUAUAUAUACGAGGUAACAAGGAACAGGUGGAGACAAUCAGGCCGGUCAGACAAUCUGACAGGCGGGAAACACCAGGAAGUCAAGGGCCUGAAACGAGAGGAGAAUUAGUUUUCACAAUAAUAUAUAUAGACAACAGUGAACAACACCUCAACAGACCCGACGAGACAUAACAGGCCCUCCUGAAGCAACCCAGCAGCUGGAGGCAUACCUGGGGUGCCCAGGAGAACCAGCACUGAAGUCGAUCCCAGCUGUGCUGCAACUUUCACAGAAGCUCAAUGUAACACUCCCUGCCUCCGCUGCCUGUGAAAUACUGUUUAGUGUUGCAGGGAUGAUCUUCAGGCCAAGGAGGGAAUGCAUUGGUGCAAAAAACUUUGAGUUUGACUUGUUGCUUUUGCGACUGAACAAGGCCUAUUGGUAAUGUGUGUGUGUGUGUGCGUGUGUGCGUGUGUGCCCAGCAGUUUCUGUUCUAUGAGCUGCAUGCUCUGGUUCGAGUUGAGAAUGGGCUGUGUGUGUGUUUGUGUGUGUGUGUGUGUGCGCGCGUGUGUGUGCAUGUGUGCGUGUAGUGUAGUAGUGUUUGUGCUACACCUGUGUGGCCACCAGGGCUCUGUGACUCCAUUGUGUGUUGCAUUCAUUUGGUCGAGUGUAAUAAAGUCUAAUGAAUUUUUUUUACAUUUGUG